GGGAAUUAGAGUUUGAUCCUGGCUCACAUUGAACGCUGGCGGCAGGCCUAACACAUGCAAGUCNAGCGGUAACAGGAGAAGCUUGCUUCUCGCUGACGAGCGGCGGACGGGUGAGUAAUGCGUAGGAAUCUACCCUUUUGUGGGGGAUAGCCCGGAAAAAUCCGGAUUAAUACCGCAUAANCUCUUCGGAGGAAAGUGGGGGAUCUUCAAACCUCACGCUGAAGGAUGGGCCUACGUUGGAUUAGCUUGUUGGUGGGGUAAAGGCCUACCAAGGCGACAAUCCAUAGCUGGUCNGAGAGGAUGAUCAGCCACACCGNGNCUGANACACGGCCCGGACUCCUACGGGAGGCAGCAUUGGGGAAUAUUGGACAAUGGGCCCAAGC
RNAcentral lists this ribosomal RNA (383 nucleotides) under bacterium enrichment culture clone D12_G4_090 (1/77). RNAcentral's name for it is "bacterial SSU rRNA". It matches the Rfam family "Bacterial small subunit ribosomal RNA", at positions 1 to 382 of the family's 1533-position model. The record is from RNAcentral.